RNAcentral lists this ribosomal RNA (133 nucleotides) under uncultured bacterium. RNAcentral describes it as "partial 16S ribosomal RNA". The record is from RNAcentral.
UAGGUUACGUCAAGACUCAGGGGUAUUAACCCUUAAGCUUUUCUUCUCUACUGAAAGUGCUUUACAACCCGCAGGCCUUCUUCACACACGCGGCAUUGCUGGAUCAGGGUUGCCCCCAUUGUCCAAUAUUCCC